CACUGUUUGUGUUCAUCAAACGCAUGCAGAGAUUUGUCCCAGUGCGGCUGUUGCUAUGAGGUAGAGAGAACCAUCUCUGGCAAAGGGGUGAAUAACGCGAAAUGAUUGAAAUGAUUUAUUGUCAUUUUCUUUCUUUCUUUUUUUUUUUUUUUAAUUUUUUUUUUUUUUUUUUUUUUUUUUUUUUUUUUUUUUUUUUUUUCUGGCUGCAACACGAUAGGGAGCAGAAGUUGCAGAGACCAGGACGACCAGGAGAAUCCGCUCUUCUUCCUGUUGCAGUGUUGUAAGAUGCCAAACUACUUCGAGUAAGGGGAGAUCCAGAGGAGAAUUACAUACUACUUACAGAAAAGUUCUCACCUCACACAUCACAGACCUGUACAUGGCUACACUGUGGAAAAACACAUGUUAAAGUAAACUGGCACUUUUCAACAAGGGAUCCAAAUGUUCAAACAAGAUGGAAGACAAGAUACACGUCUUACCAGGGUGAUAUGUGUAUACUGAUGUGGUGUCAAGUAUUUAUUUUUCAUCUAGAAAAUGAGAGCCUUGCAGCAAAUGCCUGGAAGUACCUAUUCUGUAGCAUACACAAAACUCUUGAACUUAAAGCCACACUGUGCUCAUUCAGUUUCUCCUGCCUGUGCAGCAGAGAGGGAUUUUACUCAUUUGGCUGCUAAAAGUACACCACUGUGUACUUGUGGCCAUCUAACAUACACUGAGAAGAGCGAGCUAAAGCAGCUGCAGUCUGUGACCAUGGUGAAUAUCCCCUAAUUUCUAACUAAUUUCUAAUUAAGCAGAGUAUGAAAAUAGUUAUUACACACUGCCUCCUGCCAUCAUCACCUCAUCCAUUUGCCCAGAGGAAGGACAUCCAGCCCGCCACUCCGAUAUGUUUGGUUCCUUUUGUUUGUUUAUAACUAUUCUGAAGAUUGAGCUGACAGCUAAGGUGGGCAGGGCUGUGCCCAGGUGCUGGAAGGUUUGCCCUCAGACGCCACCCCUCCUGACAAAGCUGAACAAUGGGCCACUCAUGGGAAAGUAUCAAGUUGCCUGACCUAAAGUGAGCUGUCACCAAUUUAAGCAUGGCAAAAAGCAUGACUCACUGCUACAUGCAGUUCCAAAAAGCCCUUAGUGAAGAAAAACAUGUGACUUUGCACUUGCUAAAGCAGGGCCACUCUAGAGUUUACAGCUGCUGUCAGCCCUCAAAGCUUUCCUCUUCACAAACAACAGUGCUUUAUGCAUGAAGACUGUCUCAAGAGCAAGACAGAGGAGCCCUGAUGGAACCAUAUUCCAUCGAAAUGUGUGAUUUUAUCAGUUCACUUCAGAAGAAGAAUUCUGCUUUAUAAUUUACAGGACUUCUGUCAAGCACAAGAAGCACAUGUAACUGGAACUGGGAUUGCAUGGGGAUACUGCACAGCCUGAACACUCACUGAAAAGAUCCCUGCCCCCCACCAUCCCCUCCAUCUGCAUCAUUUAGCUUUAGUUUCCUAAUGUUGCUUGUCUUUCUUCCUCUUAUCAUGAUCCUAGCACCACUUGUGUUUCCAGGACAGCACUAAAGAUGUGCUAGCACCACAGAGAAAAAGAGAAAGAAAUAGAUACGUGUAUUGAGAAAAGCAGACUGAAGAGUCAUCAGAUGCCUUGUCACCACGCUGUUCUUUAUUUGAAGACUUCAUGGUUCUUUUGGACAGUCUGAGGUACCCAUCCACCCUGGUUGCAGUCCCCAUCUCAAGAAGCCAUAGGAGGAUUUUAUCUUUUCCAGUUGUGUUGACACUGGACUUCAACCUUUCAGCACUGGCCGUGACGGAAGAUCAGGAUCAGAUCAUUGCAAACCUGAAGGGCAGGCAGGAGGCAUACCUCACACACUAAAAGUUCAACAGUGCAGAAGAUGAGUUAAUCCUGUUCAACUCGAGUUUUCUUUCUACAGUAUUUAUAAGGUUUACUAAACACAGAGAGAUAUACACAUGCCAGUAAUAGCCUUUUUUUUCUGGAGGCGCGGAUCUAUCGAUCCCUCCAUCCCACUGGUCACAGAACCGGGCCGAACCAGCCCAUAAAAUCAUUGACAGUAACCCUUAGAAAUCCUGCAGCUACAGUAAUAAGGUGCCUUCAGGACUCUCUUGCAGAUACUCCCAGCACUUUCAUAGAUGGAGAGGUGCUAGGGGGCAUGAUGAACAUGCAUUUGUGUGAUACCCACAUCCUCCUGGGUGACAAACAAAUGUAUCUGAGGAGCUUGCCGCAGACUGCCCCUAGUCCCUUCCAGUGUCUUGCCCCUGCACUGCAUCAGAAAGCCCUGUGAAGGGCCUGCUUUGGCUGAAAAGAGCUUCCCCGUCGGACACGUGGUGAGGGAAGGCAGGUGGAGUCCCUGCCCUAGGAAGGUCAUGGGAUGUUUGGUCUCAUUUUGCUUCAUCAGCUUCAAGAUGCCAUUUCUACGUGUGGUUUUGGAACCCUUGGGUUUUUCUCCCUGUAAAUAUAUAACAUAAUAUAAUAUAAUAUAAUAUAAUAAUAAUAAAUGUAAUAAUAAUAAUAAAUGUUGUUACCACAUCAGAUGGGCGGUGGUGGGAGGCGGGAUGCCCCCUGCCCGGAGAUGCUUGGGCAGACGGCAGCAGCUGUCGGGAGUGGGUGCGCCUCGGCUUUCCCGCGGCACUCGAAAGAUACUUUAAAGCCACUGAAGAGACACUUCGCGGGGCUGAUCCAUUAAUGUCGUUUUAUUAGCAGCUUGACGCGAGAAAUCCAAAAUUUUCGGGGCGAUAAGUUUAUGUUUGUUUGUUUUCCCCGCACAAUGAGCCGCAGGCAAUUGCCGCUCUCUGGAUUGCCAAGGAGGGGGGUGGGAGCUGAGAGCACAGGGACGCGCGCUGAGCCGGGAGCUCUAAUGGAGGGUUCUAUUUGUUUCCAUGAUUACAGCUAUAAAUAAUAAUAGUUAAAAAAA
Molecule: long non-coding RNA, 2908 nt
Organism: Tympanuchus pallidicinctus (lesser prairie-chicken)
Lineage: Eukaryota; Metazoa; Chordata; Aves; Galliformes; Phasianidae
Exons: 5
Source: RefSeq, a predicted model, not a curated record